AACGUAGGAGACAAACGUUAUCCGGAGUUACUGGGCGUAAAGGGCGUGUAGGCGGUUAGUUAAGUCUGGCGUGAAAGCUCUCGGCUAAACCGGGAGAGGUCGUUGGAUACUGGCUGACUAGAGGACGGUAGAGGCGUGUGGAAUUCCGGGUGUAGUGGUGAAAUGCGUAGAGAUCCGGAGGAACACCAGUGGCGAAGGCAACACGCUGGGCCGUACCUGACGCUAAAGCGCGACAGCAUGGGGAGCAAACGGG
RNAcentral lists this ribosomal RNA (253 nucleotides) under uncultured bacterium. Its description in RNAcentral is "partial 16S ribosomal RNA". It matches the Rfam family "Bacterial small subunit ribosomal RNA", at positions 524 to 776 of the family's 1533-position model. The record is from RNAcentral.